RNAcentral lists this ribosomal RNA (491 nucleotides) under uncultured bacterium. RNAcentral describes it as "partial 16S ribosomal RNA". It matches the Rfam family "Bacterial small subunit ribosomal RNA", at positions 29 to 507 of the family's 1533-position model. The record is from RNAcentral.
AGUGAACGCUGGCGGUAGGCCUAACACAUGCGAGUCGAACGGCAGCACAGUAAGAGCUUGCUCUUACGGGUGGCGAGUGGCGGACGGGUGAGGAAUACAUCGGAAUCUACUUUUUCGUGGGGGAUAACGUAGGGAAACUUACGCUAAUACCGCAUACGACCUACGGGUGAAAGCAGGGGAUCUUCGGACCUUGCGCGAUUGAAUGAGCCGAUGUCGGAUUAGCUAGUUGGCGGGGUAAAGGCCCACCAAGGCGACGAUCCGUAGCUGGUCUGAGAGGAUGAUCAGCCACACUGGAACUGAGACACGGUCCAGACUCCUACGGGAGGCAGCAGUGGGGAAUAUUGGACAAUGGCGCAAGCCUGAUCCAGCCAUACCGCGUGGGUGAAGAAGGCCUUCGGGUUGUAAAGCCCUUUUGUUGGGAAAGAAAAGCAGCAGGUUAAUACCCCGCUGUUCUGACGGUACCCAAAGAAUAAGCACCGGCUAACUUCGUG